AUCUGAUGACCCUUUCAUAGAAAAACCCAUCAAUUUCUCCAAUAUUGACUUUUGGGGUCACAGACAUUGCUUGCAUUUCUUGCCUCGUUUCAAUAUGGUUAAUACUUUUUUUUAUUGCCUGGUUGUGUUUUCCUUCCGAGUUGAGAAUAACAGAGACAUCAAAUGAUCAAUUGGGUACUGCUUAAACACGGGUUUAAUUUCCAUGAAAGGGUCAUCAGAUAGGAGCGAAAGACAGAAGGUUUCCUAAUCACAGAGAUUAUCAGUUGAACUAUGCUUACGAUCAUCAUAUGACCCAUU
RNAcentral lists this unclassified non-coding RNA (297 nucleotides) under Hevea brasiliensis (rubber tree). Lineage: Eukaryota; Viridiplantae; Streptophyta; Magnoliopsida; Malpighiales; Euphorbiaceae. The record is from RNAcentral.